Molecule: ribosomal RNA, 203 nt
Filed under: uncultured bacterium
Lineage: Bacteria
Description: partial 16S ribosomal RNA
Rfam family: Bacterial small subunit ribosomal RNA
Source: RNAcentral
UUCGGAUUGGAGUCUGCAACUCGACUCCAUGAAGCUGGAUUCGCUAGUAAUCGCGCAUCAGCCAUGGCGCGGUGAAUACGUUCCCGGGCCUUGUACACACCGCCCGUCAAGCCAUGGGAGUCGGGAGUGCCUGAAGUUCGUGACCGUCACAGGAGCGACCUAAGGCAAGACCGAUGACUGGGGCUAAGUCGUAACAAGGUACC